AGAACAUAUACGGGGAAUUGAUACUACCACUAAGGAGUUGUUAGGGAGCUGUGGAACUAAGUAUAGAUGGGUUCAUGGCCCAGCAAACAGUCUCUGAGUGCCUCAGAAUCAAAUAAUUAAACAAUUACUAACUCGCUAGAGCUGCUAUAACCAACACUGCAUCACGCAUGGAAGAUUAACUACCAAAUACUUAUAUGUUAUCGG
This is a long non-coding RNA of Manduca sexta (tobacco hornworm), 204 nucleotides long. RefSeq lists it as uncharacterized. The transcript has 3 exons. The record is from RefSeq and is a predicted model, not a curated record. Lineage: Eukaryota; Metazoa; Arthropoda; Insecta; Lepidoptera; Sphingidae.